RNAcentral lists this RNase P RNA (349 nucleotides) under Candidatus Acetatifactor stercoripullorum. RNAcentral describes it as "Bacterial RNase P class A". It matches the Rfam family "Bacterial RNase P class A". From Rfam's summary of the family: Ribonuclease P (RNase P) is a ubiquitous endoribonuclease, found in archaea, bacteria and eukarya as well as chloroplasts and mitochondria. Its best characterised activity is the generation of mature 5'-ends of tRNAs by cleaving the 5'-leader elements of precursor-tRNAs. Lineage: Bacteria; Bacillati; Bacillota; Clostridia; Lachnospirales; Lachnospiraceae. The record is from RNAcentral.
UAGGACAAAUAAUCGCGGCUGCAUUUUGUGCAGGUGAGGAAAGUCCGGGCUUCACAGGGCAGGAUGCCAGAUAACGUCUGGUGGAGGCGACUCCAAGGCUAGUGCAACAGAAAUAUACCGCCGGAACCGUUUCUUUGAGGCGGCGUCCGGUGAGGGUGGAAAGGCAGUGUAAGAGACUACCGUCCGUCUGGCAACAGGCGGAGCCAUGUAAACCCCAUCCGAAGCAAGACCAAAAAGAAAGCGACAGGCUUGCCCGGCCUGCUUUCAGGUAGGUCGCUUGAUGCGGCUGGCGACAGCCGUGCUAGAUAGAUGAUUAUUCGCGACAUAACCCGGCUUAUCGUCCUGCUUA